Molecule: unclassified non-coding RNA, 240 nt
Filed under: soil metagenome
Description: partial contains 5.8S ribosomal RNA, internal transcribed spacer 2, and large subunit ribosomal RNA
Source: RNAcentral
AACGAGGCCGACCUGCGGCUGAGUUACCUGCGGAGGGAUCAUUAACAAUUGUCCACUAUAACGGAUAAUUUUAUCCAUAUCCACCUUGUGUGCAUCAUUGAUGUGUUAGUUGGCAGGUUUAGCCCUCUACUUUAUUGUGAGGGGUUGUUUGGGUUCUAAGCGCCGAAAUAUUUCGGUGCUUGUCCCAGCCUGCCAAUUUUUACGUUUAAACAUGUCUAAAUAAUUGGUCUGAAAUAGAAA